This 73-nucleotide transfer RNA is filed under the name Ailuropoda melanoleuca (giant panda). It matches the Rfam family "tRNA". From Rfam's summary of the family: Transfer RNA (tRNA) molecules are approximately 80 nucleotides in length. Their secondary structure includes four short double-helical elements and three loops (D, anti-codon, and T loops). Lineage: Eukaryota; Metazoa; Chordata; Mammalia; Carnivora; Ursidae. The record is from Rfam by way of RNAcentral.
GCUUGGCUGGCUCAGUCGGUAGAGCAUGUGAUUCUUGAUCUUGGGGUUGUAGGUUCAGGACCCACGUUGAGUA